This 301-nucleotide ribosomal RNA is filed under the name uncultured bacterium. RNAcentral describes it as "partial 16S ribosomal RNA". It matches the Rfam family "Bacterial small subunit ribosomal RNA", at positions 509 to 807 of the family's 1533-position model. The record is from RNAcentral.
CAGUAGCCGCGGGAACACGGAGGGUGCAAGCGUUAAUCGGAAUUACUGGGCGUAAAGCGUGCGCAGGCGGUUGUGUAAGACAGGUGUGAAAUCCCCGGGCUUAACCUGGGAACUGCGCUUGUGACUGCACAGCUAGAGUAUGGCAGAGGGGGGUGGAAUUCCACGUGUAGCAGUGAAAUGCGUAGAGAUGUGGAGGAACACCGAUGGCGAAGGCAGCCCCCUGGGACAACACUGACGCUGAGGCACGAAAGCGUGGGGAGCAAACAGGAUUAGAUACCCCUGUAGUCCCUGUCUCUUAUAC